AAAGGAAGCGAUUCCGGCAACGGAUGGGCAUGCGUGACAUUAGCUAGUUGGCGGGGCAACGGCCCACCAAGGCGACGAUGUCUAGGGGUUCUGAGAGGAAGGUCCCCCACACUGGUACUGAGACACGGACCAGACUCCUACGGGAGGCAGCAGUGAGGAAUAUUGGUCAAUGGGCGCGAGCCUGAACCAGCCAAGUCGCGUGAGGGAUGACGGCCCUACGGGUUGUAAACCUCUUUUGUCGGGGAGCAAAUUCCGCCACGCGUGGCGGAGUCGAGAGUACCCGAAGAAAAAGCAUCGGCUAACUCCGUGCCAGCAGCCGCGGUAAUACGGAGGAUGCGAGCGUUAUCCGGAUUUAUUGGGUUUAAAGGGUGCGUAGGCGGACUGUCAAGUCAGCGGUAAAAUACGGGGGCUCAACCUCCGCCCGCCGUUGAAACUGACGGUCUUGAGUGGGCGAGAAGUAUGCGGAAUGCGUGGUGUAGCGGUGAAAUGCAUAGAUAUCACGCAGAACUCCGAUUGCGAAGGCAGCAUACCGGCGCCCAACUGACGCUGAAGCACGAAAGCGUGGGUAUCGAACAGGAUUAGAUACCCUGGUAGUCCACGCAGUAAACGAUGAAUACUAGCUGUCCGGGGCGAAUGAGCCCUGG
This 644-nucleotide ribosomal RNA is filed under the name uncultured bacterium. Its description in RNAcentral is "bacterial SSU rRNA". It matches the Rfam family "Bacterial small subunit ribosomal RNA", at positions 202 to 842 of the family's 1533-position model. The record is from RNAcentral.